GCCGGUAUAGCUCAGUUGGUAGAGCAACUGAUUUGUAAUCAGUGGGUCGCGGGUUCGAUUCCUGCUGCCGGCACCA
Molecule: transfer RNA, 76 nt
Filed under: Devosia sp.
Lineage: Bacteria; Pseudomonadati; Pseudomonadota; Alphaproteobacteria; Hyphomicrobiales; Devosiaceae
Description: tRNA-Thr
Rfam family: tRNA
About the family: Transfer RNA (tRNA) molecules are approximately 80 nucleotides in length. Their secondary structure includes four short double-helical elements and three loops (D, anti-codon, and T loops).
Source: RNAcentral